UUUUUAAAUGGCUGCAGUAUUUUAACUGUMCUAAGGYAGCAYAAUCAAUUGUUUUUUAAAUGGAAACUAGAAUGAAAGGGGUAAUGAAAUAUAAUCUUUMUUUAAUUUAUGAUUUGAAUUUAAUUUUUUAGUUAAAAAGCUUAAAUAAUUUUAUAAGACGAGAAGACCCUAUMGAAUUUUAUAUAAUAAUUUAUUUAAAUUUUAUAUUGUUAAUAUAAUUAUAUAUUUAUUUGGGAGGAAUUUUAAAUUGAAAACUUUAAUUUAUUUAAAACAUAAAUAAAUGAUUUAAAAAGAUUUUUUUUGAAAUGAAAGAUUAAAUUACCUUAGGGAUAACAGUGUAAUAUUUUUUUAAAGUUCUUAUUGAAAAAAG
Molecule: ribosomal RNA, 370 nt
Filed under: Trachepyris sp.
Lineage: Eukaryota; Metazoa; Arthropoda; Insecta; Hymenoptera; Bethylidae
Description: partial large subunit ribosomal RNA
Source: RNAcentral